GGCGCACGGGUGAGUAACGCGUAUGCAACCUACCUAGUCAGAGGGGAAUAACCCGGCGAAAGUCGGACUAAUACCGCAUAAAACAGGGGCACCGCAUGGUGAUAUUUGUUAAGAAAUUCGCUGAUAGAUGGGCAUGCGUUCCAUUAGGUAGUUGGUGAGGUAACGGCUCACCAAGCCGACGAUGGAUAGGGGAACUGAGAGGUUGGUCCCCCACACUGGUACUGAGACACGGACCAGACUCCUACGGGAGGCAGCAGUGAGGAAUAUUGGUCAAUGGGCGGGAGCCUGAACCAGCCAAGUCGCCGUGAAGGAAGAAGGAUCUAUGGUUCGUAAACUUCUUUUGCAGGGGAAUAAAGUGCAGGACGUGUCCUGUUUUGUAUGUACCCUGAGAAUAAGGAUCGGCUAACUCCGUGCCAGCCGCCGC
This 424-nucleotide ribosomal RNA is filed under the name uncultured bacterium. RNAcentral describes it as "bacterial SSU rRNA". It matches the Rfam family "Bacterial small subunit ribosomal RNA", at positions 97 to 518 of the family's 1533-position model. The record is from RNAcentral.